Molecule: ribosomal RNA, 258 nt
Filed under: uncultured prokaryote
Description: partial 16S ribosomal RNA
Rfam family: Bacterial small subunit ribosomal RNA
Source: RNAcentral
GGGCCCGCACAAGCGGUGGAGCAUGUGGUUUAAUUCGAAGCAACGCGAAGAACCUUACCAGGCCUUGACAUCCCCUGACCGUCAUGGAAACAUGGCUUCUCUUCGGAGCAGGGAGACAGGUGGUGCAUGGUCGUCGUCAGCUCGUGUCGUGAGAUGUUGGGUUAAGUCCCGCAACGAGCGCAACCCUUGCCUUUAGUUGCCAUCAUUAAGUUGGGCACUCUAGAGGGACUGCCGGUGACAAACCGGAGGAAGGUGGGG